RNAcentral lists this ribosomal RNA (496 nucleotides) under uncultured bacterium. RNAcentral's name for it is "partial 16S ribosomal RNA". It matches the Rfam family "Bacterial small subunit ribosomal RNA", at positions 28 to 507 of the family's 1533-position model. The record is from RNAcentral.
GAUGAACGCUGGCGGCGUGCCUAAUACAUGCAAGUCGAGCGAACAGACGAGGAGCUUGCUCCUCUGACGUUAGCGGCGGACGGGUGAGUAACACGUGGAUAACCUACCUAUAAGACUGGGAUAACUUCGGGAAACCGGAGCUAAUACCGGAUAAUAUAUUGAACCGCAUGGUUCAAUAGUGAAAGACGGUUUUGCCGUCACUUAUAGAUGGAUCCGCGCCGCAUUAGCUAGUUGGUAAGGUAACGGCUUACCAAGGCAACGAUGCGUAGCCGACCUGAGAGGGUGAUCCGCCACACUGGAUCUGGGCCACGGUCCAGACUCCUACGGGAGGCCGCAGUAGGGACUCUUCCGCAAUGGGCGAAAGCUGACGGAGCACCGCCGCGUGAGUGAUGAAGGUCUUCGGAUCGUAGAGCUCUGUUAUUAGGGAAGAACAAAUGUGUAAGUAACUAUGCACGUCUUGCCGGUACCUAAUCAGAAAGCCACGGCUAACUACGUG